This 493-nucleotide ribosomal RNA is filed under the name uncultured bacterium. RNAcentral describes it as "partial 16S ribosomal RNA". It matches the Rfam family "Bacterial small subunit ribosomal RNA", at positions 28 to 507 of the family's 1533-position model. The record is from RNAcentral.
GACGAACGCUGGCGGCGUGCUUAACACAUGCAAGUCGAACGGUGAAGGGACCGGUUUUUGCUGGUUCUGGAUGAGUGGCGAACGGGUGAGUAACACGUGAGUAACCUGCCCCCUUCUUCUGGAUAACCGCAUGAAAGUGUGGCUAAUACGGGAUAUUCUGCGCCUGCUGCAUGGUGGGUGUGGGAAAGAUAUUGUUUCGGUGGGGGAUGGGCUCGCGGCCUAUCAGCUUGUUGGUGGGGUGAUGGCCUACCAAGGCGGUGACGGGUAGCCGGCCUGAGAGGGUGGACGGUCACACUGGGACUGAGACACGGCCCAGACUCCUACUGGAGGCAGCAGUGGGGAAUAUUGCACAAUGGGCGCAAGCCUGAUGCAGCGACGCCGCGUGAGGGAUGGAGGCCUUCGGGUUGUAAACCUCUUUCGCCAGUGAAGCAGGCCUGUCCCUUUUGUGGGUGGGUUGACGGUAGCUGGAUAAGAAGCGCCGGCUAACUACGUG